Molecule: ribosomal RNA, 264 nt
Filed under: uncultured bacterium
Lineage: Bacteria
Description: partial 16S ribosomal RNA
Rfam family: Bacterial small subunit ribosomal RNA
Source: RNAcentral
CUUAGUGGCGGACGGGUGAGUAACGCGUGGGUAACCUGCCUCACACUGGGGGAUAACAGUUAGAAAUAGCUGCUAAUACCGCAUAAGCGCACAGUUCCGCAUGGAACAGUGUGAAAAACUCCGGUGGUGCGAGAUGGACCCGCGUCUGAUUAGCCAGUUGGCGGGGUAACGGCCCACCAAAGCGACGAUCAGUAGCCGGCCUGAGAGGGUGAACGGCCACAUUGGGACUGAGACACGGCCCAAACUCCUACGGGAGGCAGCAUG